GGUGGUGGUGGGUGGAGAAGAAAAUCUGAGUGAGAGAGAGGGGUUGGGGUUUGAGGUGGGGGUGGGUAGUAGAGAAGACAAUUUGGGGGUGGUGUGGGUAUAAUUUUCUUUUUAUUAAAAGUGUUUUUUAUUUAAAAUUAUUUAGUUAAAGAAAUGCCACAUGUCAAUGAGUCAUUGGUAGUUUUUUUCCUACUCAAGAUUCAUCAUU
This 208-nucleotide long non-coding RNA is filed under the name Solanum tuberosum (potato). RNAcentral describes it as "long non-coding RNA (STUB_LNC003385)". Lineage: Eukaryota; Viridiplantae; Streptophyta; Magnoliopsida; Solanales; Solanaceae. The record is from RNAcentral.